Molecule: long non-coding RNA, 342 nt
Filed under: Ananas comosus (pineapple)
Lineage: Eukaryota; Viridiplantae; Streptophyta; Magnoliopsida; Poales; Bromeliaceae
Description: long non-coding RNA (ACOM_LNC001585)
Source: RNAcentral
CCAUCUUUCUUACUAUCCUUUACCUAUUUGUGUCUUACCUUACUGUAGACUUAGUGGGUGGGCCGUUGAGGUCGAUGACGAUACCCGCUGAGGACUACUCUGUUUUGCAGUAGUUCUCACACCCAGUUGUUGCCACCUUUUUGCAGACCCGUCCGCUGCUGUUGCUGCUGCUGUUGCUGAUUCCGACCACAGUACGAAAAUUUCUAUGUAUACAGCGGGUAUGUUGGUGUGCUCGAAAAAACGUGGUAAUCUGAAGCGUAAUAAAUAUUUAGUUAGCAAAAUUGAAUUGUGCGAUUUAAUUACAAUAAUUUAAAAAGUGUGAGCCAAAAUUUUAGUACAUUA